AUACAGCGAAACUGCGAAUGGCUCAUUAUAUAAGUUAUCUGUUUAUUUGAUAGUGCCUUACUACUUGGAUAACCGUGGUAAUUCUAGAGCUAAUACAUGCUAAAAACCCCGACUUCGGAAGGGGUGUAUUUAUUAGAUACAAAACCAAUGCCCUUCGGGGCUCUUUGGUGAUUCAUGAUAACUAUACGAAUCGCACGGCCUUGCGCCGGCGAUGGUUCAUUCAAAUUUCUUCCCUAUCAACUUUCGAUGUUUGGGUAUUGGCCAAACAUGGUUGCAACGGGUAACGGAGGGUUAGGGCUCGACCCCGGAGAAGGAGCCUGAGAAACGGCUACUACAUCCAAGGAAGGCAGCAGGCGCGCAAAUUACCCAAUCCCGACUCGGGGAGGUAGUGACAAUAAAUACUGAUACAGGGCCCUUUCGGGCCUUGUAAUUGGAAUGAGUACAAUUUAAAUCCCUUAACGAGGAACAAUUGGAGGGCAAGUCUGGUGCCAGCAGCCGCGGUAAUUCCAGCUCCAAUAGCGUAUAU
This 526-nucleotide ribosomal RNA is filed under the name uncultured eukaryote. RNAcentral's name for it is "SSU rRNA". It matches the Rfam family "Eukaryotic small subunit ribosomal RNA", at positions 76 to 604 of the family's 1831-position model. The record is from RNAcentral.